UCCAGACUCCUACGGGAGGCAGCAGUCGGGAAUAUUGCGCAAUGGAGGAAACUCUGACGCAGUGACGCCGCGUAUAGGAAGAAGGUUUUCGGAUUGUAAACUAUUGUCGUUAGGGAAGAUACAAGACAGUACCUAAGGAGGAAGCCCCGGCUAACUACGUGCCAGCAGCCGCGGUAAUACGUAGGGGGCAAGCGUUAUCCGGAUUCACUGGGUGUAAAGGGAGCGUAGACGGCGACGCAAGUCUGGAGUGAAAGCCCGGGGCCCAACCCCGGGACUGCUCUGGAAACUGCGUCGCUGGAGUACGGGAGGGGCAGGCGGAAUUCCUGGUGUAGCGGUGAAAUGCGUAGAUAUCAGGAGGAACACCGGCGGCGAAGGCGGCCUGCUGGACCGUGACUGACGUUGAGGCUCGAGAGCGUGGGGAGCAAACAGGAUUAGAUCCCCGCGUA
Molecule: ribosomal RNA, 446 nt
Filed under: uncultured bacterium
Lineage: Bacteria
Description: bacterial SSU rRNA
Rfam family: Bacterial small subunit ribosomal RNA
Source: RNAcentral